UUUAAUGGAGAGUUUGAUCCUGGCUCAGGACGAACGCUGGCGGCGUGCCUAAUACAUGCAAGUCGAGC
This 68-nucleotide ribosomal RNA is filed under the name Paenibacillus sp. EKM202P. Its description in RNAcentral is "partial 16S ribosomal RNA". It matches the Rfam family "Bacterial small subunit ribosomal RNA", at positions 1 to 67 of the family's 1533-position model. The record is from RNAcentral. RNAcentral also lists the same sequence under 1 other name. Lineage: Bacteria; Bacillati; Bacillota; Bacilli; Caryophanales; Paenibacillaceae.